CAGUAGCCGCGGUAAUACGUAGGGUGCAAGCGUUAAUCGGAAUUACUGGGCGUAAAGCGUGCGCAGGCGGUUUGUUAAGACAGAUGUGAAAUCCCCGGGCUCAACCUGGGAACUGCAUUUGUGACUGUAUAGCUAGAGUACGGUAGAGGGGGAUGGAAUUCCGCGUGUAGCAGUGAAAUGCGUAGAUAUGCGGAGGAACACCGAUGGCGAAGGCAAUCCCCUGGACCUGUACUGACGCUCAUGCACGAAAGCGUGGGGAGCAAACAGGAUUAGAUACCCGGGUAGUCCCUGUCUCUUAUAC
This 301-nucleotide ribosomal RNA is filed under the name uncultured bacterium. RNAcentral's name for it is "partial 16S ribosomal RNA". It matches the Rfam family "Bacterial small subunit ribosomal RNA", at positions 509 to 807 of the family's 1533-position model. The record is from RNAcentral.